GACAAACGCUGGCGGCAUGCCUAACACAUGCAAGUCGAACGGACAGAACAGGGAAGCUUUUCGGAGUGGAACUGGAAAGUUAGUGGCGGAUGGGUGAGUAACGCGUGGACAACCUACCUUGUAAAGGGGAAUAGCCUCGAGAAAUCGAAGCUAAUACCCCAUAAUAACCUUGCUUCGCAUGAAGUAAGGAGGAAAGGCGGCCUUAGCGCUGUCGAUACAAGAUGGGUCCGCGUCUGAUUAGCUAGUUGGUGAGGUAAAGGCUCACCAAGGCGACGAUCAGUAGCCGGCCUGAGAGGGUGAACGGCCACAUUGGGACUGAGACACGGCCCAAACUCCUACGGGAGGCAGCAGUGGGGAAUCUUCCGCAAUGGGCGAAAGCCUGACGGAGCAAUGCCGCGUGAGUGAAGAAGGCCUUCGGGUUGUAAAACUCUGUCCUUAUCGAAGAGAGAGUGUUGUAGUAACUGACAAUACUAGGACGGUAGAUGAGGAGGAAGCCCCGGCUAACUAUGUG
Molecule: ribosomal RNA, 511 nt
Filed under: uncultured bacterium
Lineage: Bacteria
Description: partial 16S ribosomal RNA
Rfam family: Bacterial small subunit ribosomal RNA
Source: RNAcentral